UCUUCCCUCAGCCAGGCUUGACUACAAGACCUCAAUGAGCCAAGCCUCCCAGGGAAGAAGG
Gallus gallus (chicken) is the source of this 61-nucleotide microRNA precursor. The record is from Ensembl. NCBI's taxonomy places the organism in Eukaryota, Metazoa, Chordata, Aves, Galliformes, Phasianidae.